UUGGCCCGGCUAAACUAUGGGAUCAUCACCCUCAUCCCUAAGGUGGCCGGGGCCUCGGACAUCCGCCAUUUUCGCCCUAUUACAGUGAUCAAUGUGAUCUUCCGUAUUCUGGCAAAGGGGUACGCCAAUAGUGUGACCCUGCUAGCUGACCACAUCACCCAUAGGAAUCACUCGGCCUUUAUCAAAGGCUGACACAUCCUGGAUGGGGGAUUGGUGUUCCAUGAAGUCCUUCAUGAUGUCCGUGUCGGGCAUCAGCGGGCGGUCUUCUUGAAGAUUGACUUCCAUAAAGCCUACGACACGGUCCACUGGCCCUUCCUUCGGGAAGUCCUCCUCCAUAAAGGGUUCGACGAUAGAUGGGUCACCCGUGUGAUGCAAAUGGUGUCCUGCAGCUGCACCGCAGUUAACAUUAAUGGGGAGAUUGGCCCCUUCUUCCCCAACCUAUGUGGGAUGAGACAGGGCAAUCCCUUCUCUCCUACGCCGGCGGCCUUUUAUAUGCCGACGACAUUUUGUCGGGGCCGUCGCCAUAGGCCAAUAUAUGCCGAUGGCCUUGCCGUAGGCGUAGAAAAGUCGUCAGUAUACAGACGUCUAUGCCGACGGCAGCCGUAG
RNAcentral lists this ribosomal RNA (606 nucleotides) under Triticum aestivum (bread wheat). RNAcentral's name for it is "partial small subunit ribosomal RNA". The record is from RNAcentral. Lineage: Eukaryota; Viridiplantae; Streptophyta; Magnoliopsida; Poales; Poaceae.